GAUGAACGCUGGCGGCGUGCCUAAUACAUGCAAGUCGAGCGAACAGACGAGGAGCUUGCUCCUCUGACGUUAGCAGCGGACGGGUGAGUAACACGUGGAUAACCUACCUAUAAGACUGGGAUAACUUCGGGAAACCGGAGCUAAUACCGGAUAAUAUAUUGAACCGCAUGGUUCAAUAGUGAAAGACGGUUUUGCUGUCACUUAUAGAUGGAUCCGCGCCGCAUUAGCUAGUUGGUAAGGUAACGGCUUACCAAGGCAACGAUGCGUAGCCGACCUGAGAGGGUGAUCGGCCACACUGGAACUGAGACACGGUCCAGACUCCUACGGGAGGCAGCAGUAGGGAAUCUUCCGCAGUGGGCGAAAGCCUGACGGAGCAACGCCGCGUGAGUGAUGAAGGUCUUCGGAUCGUAAAACUCUGUUAUUAGGGAAGAACAAAUGUGUAAGUAACUAUGCACGUCUUGACGGUACCUAAUCAGAAAGCCACGGCUAACUACGU
Molecule: ribosomal RNA, 496 nt
Filed under: uncultured bacterium
Lineage: Bacteria
Description: partial 16S ribosomal RNA
Rfam family: Bacterial small subunit ribosomal RNA
Source: RNAcentral